Molecule: ribosomal RNA, 95 nt
Filed under: uncultured bacterium
Lineage: Bacteria
Description: partial 16S ribosomal RNA
Source: RNAcentral
CCCCCUACGUCAUUUGUCGAUCAAACCUACCAUUAUUUUAAAAGUAAUGAUGAGCUGAUAGUAGCGAAAGAGGAAGGGACGGGCUAACUCUGUGC